This 69-nucleotide transfer RNA is filed under the name Selenotoca multifasciata. Its description in RNAcentral is "tRNA-Ala". It matches the Rfam family "tRNA". Rfam says of the family: Transfer RNA (tRNA) molecules are approximately 80 nucleotides in length. Their secondary structure includes four short double-helical elements and three loops (D, anti-codon, and T loops). Further hydrogen bonds mediate the characteristic L-shaped molecular structure. tRNAs have two regions of fundamental functional importance: the anti-codon, which is responsible for specific mRNA codon recognition, and the 3' end, to which the tRNAs corresponding amino acid is attached (by aminoacyl-tRNA synthetases). tRNAs cope with the degeneracy of the genetic code in two manners: having more than one tRNA (with a specific anti-codon) for a particular amino acid; and 'wobble' base-pairing, i.e. permitting non-standard base-pairing at the 3rd anti-codon position. Lineage: Eukaryota; Metazoa; Chordata; Actinopteri; Scatophagidae. The record is from RNAcentral.
AAGCUCUUAGCUUAAUUAAAGUGUCUGUUUUGCAUGCAGAAGAUGUGAGUUAGUGUCUCGCAGGGCUUA